CUAGGAAAAUCAAAAAAUAACCUUUCCUGUCAGAUUUCCUUAUAGAAAAAGUACUAUUAUUGUGAAUCGGAGCAAAAUUGCUGGUAGUAAAGUUGUUCACGGGAAAUUAAAAGGCCAUAAUAUAUUUUCAACUAAUACCUAUAUUUCGUACAUUUUCCCGUUUUUCCUCCUUUUGUUUUCGGUUUUUCAUUUGUUGAGAAAACUGCUGAGAAAAUCGAAAAA
Molecule: non-coding RNA, 222 nt
Organism: Cinara cedri
Lineage: Eukaryota; Metazoa; Arthropoda; Insecta; Hemiptera; Aphididae
Source: the annotation of a GenBank genome assembly